GACGAACGCUGGCGGCGUGCUUAACACAUGCCAGUCGAACGGAAAGGCCUGCUUUCCCUUGUGGAUUGCGGGUACUCGAGUGGCGAACGGGUGAGUAACACGUGAGUGAUCUGCCCCCAACUUGGGUAUAAGCCUGGGAAACUGGGUCUAAUUCCCGAUAGGACUGCAGGGUGGUGCCUGUGGUGGAAAACGAUUUUCUAGUGGUUGGGGAUGAGCUAGCGGCCUAUCAGCUUGUUGGUGGGGUAAUGGCCUACCAAGGCGGCGACGGGUAGCCGGCCUGAGAGGGUGGACGGCCACAUUGGGACUGAGAUACGGCCCAGACUCCUACGGGAGGCAGCAGUGGGGAAUAUUGCACAAUGGGCGGAAGCCUGAUGCAGCGACGCCGCGUGGGGGAUGACGGCCUUCGGGUUGUAAACUCCUUUCGACCGCGAGGAAGCCACCUGGUUGGAAGGGUGGUGACGGUAGUGGUAGAAGAAGCACCGGCUAACUACGUG
This 494-nucleotide ribosomal RNA is filed under the name uncultured bacterium. Its description in RNAcentral is "partial 16S ribosomal RNA". It matches the Rfam family "Bacterial small subunit ribosomal RNA", at positions 28 to 507 of the family's 1533-position model. The record is from RNAcentral.